RNAcentral lists this ribosomal RNA (2921 nucleotides) under Gracilibacteraceae bacterium. RNAcentral describes it as "23S ribosomal RNA". It matches the Rfam family "Bacterial large subunit ribosomal RNA". The record is from RNAcentral. Lineage: Bacteria; Bacillati; Bacillota; Clostridia; Eubacteriales; Gracilibacteraceae.
GGUCAAGAUAUAAAGGGCAUACGGUGGAUGCCUUGGCGCCAAGAGCCGAAGAAGGACGCGGUCAGCAGCGAAAUGCCACGGGGAGCCGUAAGCAGGCAUAGAUCCGUGGAUGUCCGAAUGGGGAAACCCGUACGGAGUCAUAUCCGUACAUCCCGUGCCGAACACAUAAGCACGGAGAAGGCAAGCCGGGGAACUGAAACAUCUAAGUACCCGGAGGAAAAGAAAGAAAAAUCGAUUCCCUGAGUAGCGGCGAGCGAACGGGGAAAAGCCCAAACCAUAUUCUUCGGGAUAUGGGGUUGUAGGACUGCCAUGAGCGGGACGGACGGUUAGCCGAACAGGCCUGGAAAGGCCGGGCGGAGAAGGUAAGACCCCUGUAGGCGAAAACCGGAAGUUUCCAGGCAGGAUCCUGAGUACCGCGGGACACGUGGAAUCCCGUGGGAAUCCGGAGGGACCACCCUCCAAGGCUAAAUACUCCUUGGCGACCGAUAGUGAACAAGUACCGUGAGGGAAAGGUGAAAAGCACCCCGGGAGGGGAGUGAAAUAGUACCUGAAACCGUAUUGCUUACAAACAGUCACAGCGUGGGCUUAGGCUAGCGUAGUGGCGUGCCUUUUGUAGAAUGAACCAGCGAGUUGCGAUACGCAGCGAGGUUAAGUGUCUAAGACACGGAGCCGCAGGGAAACCGAGUCUGAAAAGGGCGUACAGUUGCGUGUCGCAGACCCGAAACCGUGUGAUCUACCCAUGGUCAGGGUGAAGGUGGGGUAAAACCCAGUGGAGGCCCGAACUCACUGUCGUUGAAAAGGCAGGGGAUGAACUGUGGGUAGGGGUGAAAUGCCAAUCGAACACGGAAUUAGCUGGUACUCCCCGAAAUAGCUUUAGGGCUAGCCUCAAUGGAUGGUAUAUGGGGGUAGAGCACUGAAUGGGCUAAGGGCCUUAUCGGUUACUGAACCUUAUCAAACUGCGAAUACCAUAUAUAAGAAAUUGGGAGUCAGACUGUGGGGGCUAAGCUUCAUAGUCGAAAGGGAAACAGCCCGGACCGCCGGCUAAGGCCCCUAAGCGCAGCUAAGUGGAAAAGGAUGUGGAGUUGCCCGGACAACCAGGAUGUUGGCUCAGAAGCAGCCACCAUUUAAAGAGUGCGUAAUAGCUCACUGGUCGAGUGAUUCUGCGCCGAAAAUGAAACGGGGCUCAAGCUGCGCGCCGAAGCCGCGGAUUUUGGAGAAAUCCGAAAUGGUAGGGGAGCAUUGUAAACACAGUGAAGGUGAGCCGUGAGGCGAGCUGGAGAGUUUACAAGAGAGAAUGCUGGUAUGAGUAUGCGAAAAGGCAGGUGAGAAUCCUGCCCGCCGAAAAUCUAAGGUUUCCUGGGGAAGGCUCGUCCGCCCAGGGUAAGUCGGGACCUAAGCUGAGGCCGAAAGGCGUAGGUGAUGGACAAUUGGUUGAGACUCCAAUACCGCCGUUGAUUGUAUGACCGAUGGGGUGACACAGGAGGAUGAAGCGAGCGCGCGGUUGGUAGAGCGCGUCCAAGACGCAAGGCGGUGGCGCAGGCAAAUCCGCGCCGCGAUAACGCUGAGCGUUUAAGGGGAGUGAAACAAAGUAACGAAGCGCAAGAGUUCAUACUGUCAAGAAAAGCCUCUAGGGAGAGAGACGGCGCCCGUACCGCAAACCGACACAGGUAGAUGAGGAGAGAAUCCUAAGGCGCGCGAGAAAACCCUCGUUAAGGAACUCGGCAAAAUGACCCCGUAACUUCGGGAGAAGGGGUACUCUAAGGGAUUAGAGUCGCAGAGAAAUGGUCCAGGCGACUGUUUAUCAAAAACACAGGUCCCUGCAAAUCCGUAAGGAGAAGUAUAGGGGCUGACGCCUGCCCGGUGCUGGAAGGUUAAGAGGAGAGCUUAGCGCAAGCGAAGGUUUGAAUUGAAGCCCCAGUAAACGGCGGCCGUAACUAUAACGGUCCUAAGGUAGCGAAAUUCCUUGUCGGGUAAGUUCCGACCCGCACGAAAGGCGUAACGAUCUGGACGCUGUCUCAACGAGGGACUCGGCGAAAUUGUAAUACCGGUGAAGAUGCCGGUUACCUGCGACAGGACAGAAAGACCCCAUGGAGCUUUACUGCAACUUGACAUUGGAUUUUGGUAUAAAAUGUACAGAAUAGGUGGGAGGCGGAGAAAGCGGUACGCCAGUAUCGCGGGAGCCGACGUUGGGAUACCACUCUUUUUGUACUGAAGUUCUAACACGCGGCCAGAAACAGGUUGGUGGACAUUGUCAGGCGGGCAGUUUGACUGGGGCGGUCGCCUCCUAAAGAGUAACGGAGGCGCCCAAAGGUUCCCUCAGCGCGGCUGGAAAUCGCGCGUAGAGUGUAAAGGCAAAAGGGAGCUUAACAGAGAGACAAACAAGUCGAACUGGUACGAAAGUAGGGCUUAGUGAUCCGGUGGUACCGAGUGGAAGGGCCAUCGCUCAACGGAUAAAAGCUACCCUGGGGAUAACAGGCUUAUCUCCCCCAAGAGUUCACAUCGACGGGGAGGUUUGGCACCUCGAUGUCGGCUCAUCGCAUCCUGGGGCCGUAUUAGGUCCCAAGGGUUGGGCUGUUCGCCCAUUAAAGCGGUACGUGAGCUGGGUUCAGAACGUCGUGAGACAGUUCGGUCCCUAUCCGUCGCAGGCGUAGGAAAUUUGAGGGGAGCUGUUCCUAGUACGAGAGGACCGGAAUGGACGGAUCACUGGUGUACCAGUUGUCAUGCCAAUGGCAUAGCUGGGUAGCCACAUCCGGAACGGAUAAGCGCUGAAAGCAUCUAAGCGCGAAACCGGCCUCAAGAUGAGAUUUCCCACAGAAUAAUCUGGUAAGGCCCCUGGAAGAUGACCAGGUUGAUAGGCCGGGAGUGGAAGUGUGGCGACAUAUGAAGCGGACCGGUACUAAUAGGGCCGAGGUCUUGACCUA